GGUGCCUGCCCGCCCGGAGCCUGGGUGUGAGGCUGGCGUCACGUCAACGAGCAGAGGCGGCCAGGCGGGGCGGAGUGCGCGUGCGCGGCUCGCUCGCCGGGUGUGGGAGCGGGCUCGGGGCGGCGGGCACGCGCACGCGCGCACCCCGGGCAGCCUAGGCGGCCGCUCCUGCCUGUCACUCCUGCGGCGCUGCUCGCUGCUCCUUCCCUUGAAGGCAGCGGAGGCGGCGGCGGCGGCGGCGGCUCCUCCAGACACCUGCGGCGGCGACCCCCCGGCGGCGGCGCGGAGAUGUGGCCCUUGGUGGCGGCGCUGUUGCUGGGCUCCUGCUGCUGCGGUUCAGCUCAGCUACUGUUAAGUAAAAUCAAAUCUGUAGAAUACACUAUGUGCAAUGAAACUGUCGUCAUCCCUUGCAUCGUCCUCAAUGUGGAGACACAAAGCACCAAAGACAUGCACGUGCAGUGGAAGUUAAACAAAACAUCUAUUUUCAUCUAUGAUGGAACUAAAAACAACUCCAUUGUAGAGAGUAACAUUACCAGUGCAAAGAUCUCAGUCUCCGACUUACUGAAAGGUGAUGCCUCUUUGAAAAUGGAUCGGCAACAAGCUGUCGUGGGAAACUACACGUGUGAAGUUACAGAGUUAUCCAGAGAAGGCAAAACAGUUAUAGAGCUGAAAUACCGUAUGGCUUCAUGGUUUUCUCCAAAUGAAAAGAUCCUCAUUGUUAUUUUUCCGAUUUUGGCUAUACUACUUUUCUGGGGAAAGUUCGGUAUUUUAACACUUAAAUAUAAAUCCACUCGAACGAAUAAGAGAAUCAUUCUGCUGCUGGUCGCUGGGCUGGUGCUCACUGUCAUCGUAGUUGUUGGAGCUAUUCUUCUCAUCCCUGGAGAAAACCCUGUAAAGAGUGCUUCUGGACUUGGUCUCAUUGUCAUCUCUAUAGGAACAUUAAUACUACUUCAGUACAAUGUGUUUAUGACCGCUUUCGGAAUGACCUCCUUCACCAUUGCCAUAUUGAUCACUCAAGUGCUGGGCUAUGUCCUUGCUUUGGUUGGAUUGUGUCUCUGCAUCAUGGCUUGCGAAAUAGUGCAUGGCCCCCUUUUGAUUUCAGGGUUGGGUAUCAUAGCUCUAGCAGAACUACUUGGACUAGUUUAUAUGAAAUUUGUCGAGUGGAGAGAGACACCUUCGGUCAGUUGAAAAGCAAGAAGAAAAGCUUCCAACCAGAGGACUAUACAACCUCCUAGGAAAGCUGUAGAGGAACCUCUUAACGCAUUUAAAGAAUCAAAAGGAAUGAUGAAUGAUGAGUAAGUGAGGGGAAGUGAUGAACCUGGAGAGUCAGAAGUAAAGGAAUACAUUUGUGUUUAAGCACCAUGGCCUUGCUGACUCAGCUGGGAAGAAGAAAAUAAGCAACAGUAACUGACUUUUCAUCUAUGAAAGAACAUGUCAUUGACCCAUAGAUGAUUAUUACAGUUAAGUUUAUAUUCAAAGCAGCUGUGAUUUACUUAAUAAAAGAAUUAUAAUUGUGUUGUGUAACCAAUUGAAAUCCAUUUUUCUAUUGUUUCUACUCAACUAGGGGCAGACAUUUCAGGGGCAACUUCCAAGAAUGACACUUGCUAGAUCCUUGAGUCUCUGGACACUGGGUUUAAAUCAAUUCUGGAUGAGAUGUACCUACCAUUAACCUGAUGGCUAUCCAGAGAUACCUAUGAAAAAUAGUGGUAUCCAGCAAGCCUUAGUAAACUCAGGUUCCCAGCAGCUCUGUCACUCAUGCUGCUAGCUGAAUAUCAUGACUGUCACUGCCAGGUCACAGGGAUAAAGAGUGAAGUAGACAAAUGAGUCUGGUGGACAGAUCCUGUCUGCCCCCUAUGUGUGCUAUGAUAUUGACGGCACUAAUGCCUUCAUUCUUGGGGGUUGCCUCCACUUACACUCUCCCUUUGACAUAAAGUGCAUCCUGAUUUUGAAUUUUUUUUAAUCGAUGUGUUUUUCUUUUUCUUUCUUUUAUUCUUUUUUUUUUUUUUUUUUUUUUUUUUUUUUUUUCUUUUGCACAUGACCCUUUUGCACCCUGUCCUGUCCUGCUUCUUGCGUUUGAGGUACAAGAUGGAGUACCCUUUCUCCUCUUCAGACAUGGGCCCGUGACACAGUAGUGUCAGUUGCAGAAUGGAGCCAGACUUAUUCUCCAAGCACUGUGCUCACUCAUACUUUUCAGAAAAAAAAAAAAAUAGCUAUGGUUGUAACAUAUGUAUUCCAGACCUCUGGUUUGAAGGCAAAAUCUAAGGUGUUUCUUCCCAUGUUUUCUGAUUGGAGGCAUGACAAAGCAAGACUGAAAUCUGAACUAUGCGUCUCCUGCAUGGCAACAUGUGUCUCCAUCAGGGCCCUAGCAAGGCCAGGGGAGGAGGUUUUACGCCUAUUGUCUCUUUGUUGCAUGAUGAACACUCAUCACCUUCCUCCUGUAUCCUGCCUCCUGCCUCCUCCUCUUUCCCUAAGUUUGAAAAGUAAAACAAAGCCACCCCAUUCCCUACCCGGUUAGCAGAAAACCAAUGUCCUGACAGUUGUGAUCGCAUGGAGUACUUUUAGAUUAUUAGCACUUGUUUUUACCUCGUUUGUGGGCGUGUUUGUAUGUGCACAUGUAUAAGGUAGGCACAUGCAUCUUCUGUAUCCACAAAAUUGAGUCAUCAACAGAAGAGCAAAUGCUGACUUUGUGCUUUUAGUAAAUACAUUUACAAACAAAGGUCCUUAUUGGGUGGAAUUAUAUUUGAUGCAAAUAUUUGAUCUUUAAAACUAGGUAAUGUGCCAAGCUUUUUUGACUGCUCACCAGUGCCCUCUUAAAAAAAAAAAAAUACCAGUAAUGUUUCCUGUUUGUGUAACAAGGCAUUUGUAUUUGUGUUUGCAUUACUAAUGGUUAUUUCUUCUAGUCCACUGAAUGUUUCCAUGUGCCUCUUGUAUGCCAAAUUUAUUGUCAUCUUUCAUGUGGGGACCAAGUGGUUUGUUCAUGGCAAACCUAAUCAUAACGACCUACUGAGGCCUCUCAGAAAACUGACCAUACUACCAAGAUAGUGCUUCUAAAGAAAAGUAGGUUUCCUCCCUGAUUUUGUAGCUGUUCAAAGUAUUUGUGUAUAAAGAGGGAGCAGGAUGUCUGUAUACAAACCCGAUGGCUCCUGAUGCUUUCCUUUCUCCUUCUGAAAAUAUUUAGACUUUGCUCAUAUUGUUGGUUACUUUGAAGUCAGUUUUGAUGAAGAGAGAGAGAGCAAAAGGCAGAUGGACUUGGAACAGAUCCAAAUUUUCCUUCUCUAUUAAAAGAGUCAGGUGUGAAAAUCUUUAUAGUCAAAAAAAUUUUUUUAAUGAACUAAAGUUGUACCUUUUAAUAAUAUGUAGUCAAUGCCCCUCUGCUCGGGGUUCAGUCUUGGGUCUUAACCAACUGUCAUGUUCUCUUUGCUGCCUGCCAUUGGAGGCAUUGAGUGCCCUAGACAGUACCACUGGUGAUAGCCAGGGAAAUAUAGGAUGAAUUCAGCUCUUGUUCUUAGAUACCAACUUCUCUGUAUAAGGAACUACAGCAGCAAAGAGUGCUCGUGCCUGGGCAGUAUUGGGCCAGUUCACCCUCUUUAAAUCAAACCCACAAUGGCUCCCAGCUCUCAUCCUAGCAGAUUUAAAUUGCUAACAAUAUUGUGGGCUACAUGCAUCUGUUUUGCCCCACAAAAUGUUUUUUCUCUCUGAUCCCAAUUUCUGCUGCCAUUAUUCUCUAUUUGGUUUUUAUUUACUGUCUGCUCUCCAUUUAUACAAUAGUAUGGAGUGAUGCCAUUCGUCAUUUUCCGCAACACUUUUUCCAGCCUUUAUGGCUGAGUCCCAUUUUUCUUCUCUUUCAAAUCAUUGUGCUUCAGCCCUCACCCGUCACUGGCUGUAUUUGGUAACCUGUCCCCAUCUGUCUGGGGCCUCUCUCAUCUCUCACUUACCCUUCCUGGUGCUUCAUGUAUCUCUGCUUAGCUCUGUUGGGUUUUUUGUUUGUUUGUUUGGUUGGUUUUUUUUUGUGUGUGUGUGUGUGUGUGUGUGUGUUAUUCUCACUGAACUUUAAAAAUUCCUUCCAAAAUAAAAGUGUGGCUUCCCUUUCCUCCCUUUCUGCCUGUGGUGUUCUGCAUACAUUAGUAAAUACUCAGUACAGAAGUUUGAUGGCAAGAGUUUCCUGCACUUAGAUUCUCUUUUUUAAUGGGGUAAGCUAGAGUUUUUCUCUCUUUAUUUUUCUUUUUGUUUCUUUAUUUCUAUUUUUGACAAAUUUCACAUGCUUUGAAAAUUAUAAGAGACUAAGUAAGGAUGAUUCACCUGAAAAUUCCAAGUCUGGUCUGUUGAAAUCAUUCACAAUAUCAGACUAAAAGUCAUGGGGUUGUAUCUACAUAAUAGGCUUUCUUUCGGGAUGUUAUAGUCAAUAUAGUGGCAAAAUUGUGUUUGAGUUAUUAAAAUUGGGAAAGUGAUGCAUUCACUCUGCUAUUAUCUCAUUAAUAAGAGUUCAGCUGUAUAUCAUUGUCUAGAUUUAUCUUGUCUUACAGUGGGUACUCAAAAAUGUCCUCCACAGGGCGUGUAAAUACAGGCACCUGUUUGCCUGAUGUUGGGAACUAGAGGGGAAAAAAAAAGUCUGGCAACACUUUGUCCUUUUACUGUAUUUAACUGAGGCUUUAUUUAGAGAUGAGUGUUAAAAAAAAAAAAAAAAUCUCUUAAUCGCCACACCCACUAGGGGUCUUGUUAAGUCAUCUUCUGUGGCUAAAAGGGAUGGCCCAAGUUAACUUCAAAGAGAUGAGCUGUACCCAGGAAAUUGUCCUGCCUAUGACUUUGAUCACCCUUCAUUAUGACCGUUCAAUAGCGAGUUUUCCACAUGUCUAAUAUUUGGAGGAAAAGAAAGGGCAUUUUUAGUAAGCCUCUCUAUAAGAUGUCAGUGGAGUUUUCAGGGUGUUUGUCAUGAUGGAUGACAGAAGAAAACAUUUUUGAUUUUUAUUAAACAGAGUAUUAUUUACAGAAAGCCAUUGUUGAGAAUUAGUUCCCACAUCAUAUAACUGUCCAUUAACCACUCUAAAUUGUAAGAGGACUCCAGUAUUGCUAUGUGCAAGGUACUCUCCUGGGGGCCUUUUAGCAUAGCAAUUAAAGGUGUACUAUUUGUCAGUAGCCAUUUUUUUGCAGUAAUUUAAAGACCAAAGUUGUUUUACAGCUGUGUUACCCUUAAAGGUUUUUUUUUUUUAUGUAUUAAAUCAAUUUAUCACUGUUUGAAGCUUUGAAUACCUGCAAUCUUUGCCAAGAUACUUUUUUAUUUAAAAAAAAAACUGUGUAAAUAUUACCCUGUAAUAUUAUAUAUACUUAAUAAAACAUUUUAAGCUA
Molecule: RNA transcript, 5343 nt
Organism: Phodopus roborovskii (desert hamster)
Lineage: Eukaryota; Metazoa; Chordata; Mammalia; Rodentia; Cricetidae
Gene: Cd47
Gene name: CD47 molecule
Exons: 12
Source: RefSeq, a predicted model, not a curated record